This 65-nucleotide transfer RNA is filed under the name Idiostolus sp. RNAcentral's name for it is "tRNA-Thr". The record is from RNAcentral. Lineage: Eukaryota; Metazoa; Arthropoda; Insecta; Hemiptera; Idiostolidae.
GUUUUAAUAGUUUAAAUAUAAAAAUAAUGAUCUUGUAAAUCAUAGUUAGGGUGACCUUUAAAACU